Molecule: long non-coding RNA, 1425 nt
Organism: Lytechinus variegatus (green sea urchin)
Lineage: Eukaryota; Metazoa; Echinodermata; Echinoidea; Temnopleuroida; Toxopneustidae
Exons: 2
Source: RefSeq, a predicted model, not a curated record
CUCAAACCGUUCCCGGCCUCAUAAUGACCGAAGGUUAAUUGUAAUCUCUGUUGAAUUUAUGGUUGUGACGUAUGUCCAUUAUAGGUCGUUUCUCAUAUUAAUAGGAUCGCAUCGCUGGAAACAGUCAGUCUCUAUUUGCACGUAGAUCUUGAAUACCUUAUCACUUCCAUCGAUUCUCUGUUGCUAUCAAAUCCUGCAAUUUUCUUCAAAUUUAUCAGGAAUCUUUUUCAAUUUAGUGAUAUCAUCAAGAAUGAAAAUGACGAUUCCGAAAACAGUAAUCCUGGUCGCCCUUUUUGUGGUACUGCUCAGUGCAUGCUCUGAGGGCAGGCGCAAGAUGCGCCCCAACAAGGACAGGAAUGUUGGACGGAGUUGCCCAGGAAAUCAAGAGUGGACAAACUGCGGUUACUGUCAGAACCUGGUGUGUGGGUUCAAAAUUCCCGCCUGCCCGAGGAGAUGCUUCAUGGAUUGCCGAUGUCCCCGUGGUCAGCGACUUCUUUCUCAAGACAGCGACACGUGUGUGGAAGAAUCCAGGUGCCCAAGCCCAAUUGACGCCAACAUUACCGAAUAGAUGCUCGAUGACCAUACAAUAGAGCAAUGAUCUUCGGGAUUGAUCUUCUAUGCAGAUGUCAACACCGGAAAUGAUGAAAUGAUAGUUGUAGUCACCAGUAACUGACUUGCCACUGAAAAAAAGGCUGACAGUCUUCUCGGGCGUUAUAUGCUGGACCAAAAUAGAUUAGGGUUACAAUAAUUACUAUAGACACUCUCUAGACAUUCUGUUAGUCGUGUUUCUUAUCUCUUAUCUUGUAAGGAGUAGCAGGUUGUUAUCUAAACAGCAUGAUCAACCAGUCAAGAUUAUGAAUCAUAAACAUAGUGGGCCCCUUUUUCCUGAUGACGAAUGGCCUUUUUCGUCCUUCAUAGGCCCAUUUUGAAUAAUAGCCAUCUUGCCAAAGUCACGUCCAUCAUUGAAUCCAUAUUGGAUUGGAUCAUUAUUAUCAUCGCUUUAUUAAAAGAAUGGAGGGUAUUUCAUUAGCUUACUGUUAUUUUGUUCUAUGGCAUAACAUUAAAAUUUUGAAUGUGGAACAAGGCCAAGUUGACUCAAACACAAUGUAUAAAAAAAUACAGAGGAAAUUUAUUUACGACAUAGGGGGGGGGCGGGAAGAGGAGAAAAAAUCUACAAAAGGAUCAAACUAACGUUAAUUAGUUUAUUCUCUUGUGUUUCCGUUAUUAAUAUUACCCUGAAAUAAAUUAGCCACUUCCCGCUCUGCGUGAGGGUAGCAUUCUUUGUGUUAUUUAUGAAUUGUGUAUGCGGAUGUGAAAAUUUGACGUCGGUUUGCACACGCCUUAAAAAUUGUAUUAAAAAAUUUGCAUUAUAUUGGACUAUUAUUAAGAUAAUUAAAAUCUUUGAAAAAUUUACUAUAACCGUCA